CCGGCCAGCAGGAGUCCGCCUACGGGUCCCUUGAGUCAUCCUCCCAGGGGCCCUCGCAGAAGAGCAGUUACAGCGGAAGCAAAAGUCUCAACAGCGGGUCCAGCCACAGCAGCGGGUUCGGGGAUAAUGCUGACUUCAGGUGUG
This is a long non-coding RNA of Eriocheir sinensis (Chinese mitten crab), 144 nucleotides long. RefSeq lists it as uncharacterized. The record is from RefSeq and is a predicted model, not a curated record. The transcript is spliced from 2 exons. Lineage: Eukaryota; Metazoa; Arthropoda; Malacostraca; Decapoda; Varunidae.